This 244-nucleotide ribosomal RNA is filed under the name uncultured bacterium. RNAcentral describes it as "partial 16S ribosomal RNA". It matches the Rfam family "Bacterial small subunit ribosomal RNA", at positions 57 to 305 of the family's 1533-position model. The record is from RNAcentral.
GCAAGUCGAACGAAGCACUUGUGCUCAGUGGCGAAUGGGUGAGUAACACGUACUUAAUCUACCCUCAAGACUGGGAUAACAGUUGGAAACGACUGCUAAUACCGGAUAUGUAUUUCUACCGCAUGGUAGAUAUAUGAAAGGAGCUUUACAGCUUCGCUUAAGGAUGAGAGUGCGGUACAUUAGUUAGUUGGUAGGGUAAAGGCCUACCAAGACGAUGAUGUGUAGCGGGGUCGAGAGGCUGAAC